This 885-nucleotide ribosomal RNA is filed under the name uncultured archaeon. RNAcentral describes it as "bacterial SSU rRNA". It matches the Rfam family "Archaeal small subunit ribosomal RNA", at positions 459 to 1344 of the family's 1478-position model. The record is from RNAcentral.
CAGCAGCCGCGGUAAUACCAGCGCCACAAGUGGCACCAUAGNUAUUGGGUCUAAAAGCGUUCGAAGCUGGUUUGAUAAUCUUUUGUGAAAUUGUUAGACUUAAUUUAACAACGUGCAAGAGACACUAUCAGACUUGAGACCGGUGAGAAGAUAAGAGUAUUCUUUGGGAAGCGGUAAAAUGUUAUAAUCCUUAGAAGACUACCAAUGGCGAAGGCACUUAUCUAGAACGGAUCUGACAGUCAAGGACGAAGGCUAGGGGCGCAAAACGGAUUAGAUACCCGAGUAGUCCUAGCAGUAAACUCUGUGAGCUAGGUGUUGCAUACUCUUCGGGAGUGUGCAGUGCCGUAGUGAAGACGUUUAGCUCACCACCUGGGAAGUACGGUCGCAAGGCUGAAACUUAAAGAAAUUGGCGGGGGAUCACCACAAGGAGUGAGGCGUCCGGUUUAAUCUAAAUCAGCACAGAAAAUCUCACCAGGAGCGCCGGCAGAAUGAAGGUCAGAUUGAAGGUUUUACCUAACGAGCCGAGAGGUGGUGCAUGGCCGUCGUCAGUUCGUGCUGUGAAGUGUCCUGCUAAGCCAGGCAACGAACAAGACCUAUAUUUACAGUUGCUAGCAAGUCAUUAGAUGAUUGAGCACACUGUAGAGACUGCCUUGGAAACAAGGAGGAAGGUGUAGGCAACGGUAGGUCUGUAUGCCCCGAAUCUCCUGGGCUACACGUGCGCAUCAAUGGUAAGAACAAUAGGGUACAACUCUGAAAAGAGAAGUUAAACCUCUAAAUCUUAUCCUAGUCUUGAUUGAGGGCUGUAACUCGCCCUCAUGAUACUGGAAUUCCUAGUAAUCGGAUCUCAAUAGGGUCCGGCAAANUAAGUCCCUUCCCCUUGCACAC